This 732-nucleotide ribosomal RNA is filed under the name Bifidobacterium longum subsp. infantis. RNAcentral's name for it is "16S ribosomal RNA 5'end". It matches the Rfam family "Bacterial small subunit ribosomal RNA", at positions 1 to 746 of the family's 1533-position model. Lineage: Bacteria; Bacillati; Actinomycetota; Actinomycetes; Bifidobacteriales; Bifidobacteriaceae. The record is from RNAcentral.
UUUGUGGAGGGUUCGAUUCUGGCUCAGGAUGAACGCUGGCGGCGUGCUUNACACAUGCAAGUCGAACGGGAUCCAUCGGGCUUUGCUUGGUGGUGAGAGUGGCGAACGGGUGAGUAAUGCGUGACCGACCUGCCCCAUACACCGGAAUAGCUCCUGGAAACGGGUGGUAAUGCCGNAUGUUCCAGUUGAUCGCAUGGUCUUCUGGGAAACUUUCGCGGUAUGGGAUGGGGUCGNGUCCUAUCAGCUUGACGGCGGGGUAACGGCCNACCGUGGCUUCGACGGGUAGCCGGCCUGAGAGGGCGACCGGCCACAUUGGGACUGAGAUACGGCCCAGACUCCUACGGGAGGCAGCNGUGGGGAAUNUUGCACNAUGGGCGCAAGCCUGAUGCAGCGACGCNGCGUGAGGGAUGGAGGCUUCGGGUUGUAAACCUCUUUUNUCGGGGAGCAAGCNUNAGUGAGUUNACCCNUUGAAUNAGCACCGGCUAACUACGUGCCAGCAGCCGCGGUAAUACGUAGGGUGCNAGCGUNAUCCGGAAUUAUUGGGCGUNAAGGGCUCGUAGGCGGUUCGUCGCGUCCGGUGUGAAAGUCCAUCGCUUAACGGUGGAUCCGCGCCGGGUACGGGCGGGCUUGAGUGCGGUAGGGGAGACUGGAAUUCCCGGUGUAACGGUGGAAUGUGUAGAUAUCGGGAAGAACACCAAUGGCGAAGGCAGGUCUCUGGGCNGUUACUGACGC